CUUUCAGCAAGAGAGGAAACAGGGGAAGGUGUAAAGAAGGCCUUUGUCCCAUGAGAGGAAGAGAGCAUCCCCCAAAGAGUGCUGUCCGAGGCCUGCUCUGGAGCAGUAUUGCGAGCGUUUCUUGUUCUGGACUAGUUUUCUGAAUAAAUCCAAAGUCGUAUGGGUAACCUGCUGAGCUUUGUCGAAGGAGUGUGCCCUGAGGAGACAAUUGUCCAGGACCACAGUUUCAACUGCUGGCAUAAUCCACACUUCUGGGCAAUGUGAUUUUCCUCAAGGCAAUGGACACAGUGGGAAUGUCAAUCCAUCAUCAGGAUGGAGUCUUUGCAUCUGAGACACUUCUUAAAGCAGACUAAACCAAGCAUACCCCAUCUCGGGGAACGCAAACACACCUACAGUGGAGCACCCAUUGGGACACUGUUCAAAGAAGAAGAAUGGUAGCUUUAUCUUGGUGCCAACCAGGGGCUAUUUUGGCCACCAGCACAACUCAGAAUAGCUUCAGGGCUGCAAGCCCUCCCAAAAGGGCUAUGUUCUGGUGUACAGAGAUCACAGCUGCACUCAGAGAGGAAACAGGGGUCCUUAGAGAAGGCUAUGCUGUCUCUGUCACCCGAGACCUCCUCUUACAUUAGGAGAAUUUCCCCAUAGCUGGUAAACUUUCUGGAAGCUUUGUGUUCCCAGAACAUCAAAAGCUAUCAGAGGCUGUGUCAAGGACCAAACAUGUUUAUUAUACAUAUAAACAAAUAGAAGAAACAUAAGGGAGAAAACAGGAGACUUCCCAAUUUUUGUCUGUUGCUAAAGAAUAUAUACACAUUGAUAAAUAUAUAGAGCACUUUUGGGUAACACACCACCAGUUAGAAGCUGGCCAUAUUGUAACAGGACUUGGAAGCUGAAAGGUUAUAGUGGUGGUGUACUUCUAUCAGUUGUAAACCUCUAGUGACUGACUGGCAAUGAUGGGCAUUUGAUCCUCCUAUCUUUAAAAAGAGAAGAUAAACAAUCACAUGGGCAUAGUUCAUUUAUUGGACAUAUGUGCCUCUGAGCUAUUCUGCAGUCAUACAUACACCAAUAUUAAACUGUUUCUUUCUGCUUUGCAAAUAUUAAACACUUCUUUUCACUAAAGACAACAGAGGAAAUAGUGCAAAACUUUCCAGUCUAGUCAUGAAGACAAGAGAUAAAAUGACAAAGUUUUACAUCUAAAUUCAGAUAAUGAAAGCUGCAGGAACACUAUGAAAUAAACAAUCUUGUUUUUACCAUUUGAUCCAUGUAUGAUACAAAGCACCAAAAGGCAUCCACUUCAUUUUCCAUGACAUACAAGACAGGAGAAAGCAAGUCACUCAUUCCCUGAACAUACCCUUAAAAAAAGAAACAAUUAAACAAUCUUAGACUGUUAACUUGUGAUUUACACAAUUAUGAACACUAAAUUAAAUUAUUUUUCUUCCUUUCAUCCAAGAUGCAAGCUUCAAAUUUGUUACUGAACACCAAUUGUUUGUACAAUUGUUCAGUGGUACAGCAGAUUGUGUAGGUAUGUUCCAAAUCAGCAUAACCAAAUAGUUUGAAAAUUCCAUUUCCUCUGUAUGACUUUAAAAAAAUACCUGCAUUUGAUCAUUAAAAGUUUACAUUCUGCAAACAUGGACAAAAACUGUAAACAUGUAUACCCUGGAUUUACCACAUCUUUAGAAAAUGUACACCCAUAUUUCUAUUUAAUUUAACUUUAUUAACCUUCAUAAAGUAUAUAAUUAUACACUAAAAGAUUUUUGAAAUGCAAUAAUACUCUAAAAAGUGAUCCUUGCUCACUAACCAUUAACUUUUUAUUUAAAAAAAUAUUCAGACAA
This is a long non-coding RNA of Mauremys mutica (yellowpond turtle), 1826 nucleotides long. RefSeq lists it as uncharacterized. The transcript is spliced from 3 exons. Lineage: Eukaryota; Metazoa; Chordata; Testudines; Geoemydidae. The record is from RefSeq and is a predicted model, not a curated record.